Molecule: ribosomal RNA, 440 nt
Filed under: uncultured bacterium
Lineage: Bacteria
Description: partial 16S ribosomal RNA
Rfam family: Bacterial small subunit ribosomal RNA
Source: RNAcentral
CCUACGGGAGGCAGCAGUGGGGGAUAUUGCACAAUGGGGUGAACCCUGAUGCAGCGACGCCGCGUGGGUGAAGAAGCGCCUCGGCGCGUAAAGCCCUGUCAGCAGGGAAGAAAAUGACGGUAACUGAAGAAGAAGCCCCGGCUAACUACGUGCCAGCAGCCGCGGUAAUACGUAGGGGGCAAGCGUUUUUCGGAUUUGCUGGGUGUAAAGGGGGCGCAGACGGCGAUGCAAGCCAGGAGUGAAAGCCCGGGGCCCAACCCCGGGACUGCUCUUGGAACUGCGUGGCUGGAGUGCAGGAGGGGCAGGCGGAAUUCCUGGUGUAGCGGUGGAAUGCGUAGAUAUCAGGAGGAACACCGGUGGCGAAGGCGGCUUGCUGGACUGCAACUGACGUUGAGGCCCGAAAGCGUGGGGAGCAAACAGGAUUAGAUACCCUUGUAGUC